AUUAAUCUGUUUUGCAUUUUCUAUCUACCGUUUUCCUUUGGUGCCUUUAUUAUGCAAUGAGAAUCAGAACUAUUCUUUACAUUCGUGAAAGAAAACGACGAAAAUGAACAAAGCUUUACUUAUCGUGUUGGUGUUUGGUCUUCUGUUGUGUGCGCACACUGCAGAGGGUUGGCGACGAAGAAGAAGAAGCGGCGAUUCCGCUAGAAUGCCAAUCGCAGCAGA
This is a non-coding RNA of Ciona intestinalis (vase tunicate), 222 nucleotides long. The record is from RefSeq and is a predicted model, not a curated record. NCBI's taxonomy places the organism in Eukaryota, Metazoa, Chordata, Ascidiacea, Phlebobranchia, Cionidae.